UGUGCUUACAGAUGUCUACGUGCUUGCAUUUCUAUUUUUGCAAUCCUUCCAGGUAGGUCCUAUUAUGAUCCUCAUUUAACAGAAGAAGAAACUAGGGGUCAGAGUGAUUGAGUAGAUCUUCUAAGGUCACAUAGCCAGAAAACAGCAAAGCCACACCAUGUUUUUAACAGCGAAGACAGAGUCUCAAGAAACAGGUAUCUGACACGUAAACAGUGAGAGCAUGUCUGACGCCGCAGAUCCAGGCCAUGAAGGCCCUUGAGAAGUCCCGUGACAGCAUUCAUGAGCAAAGCGGUCUAAGAAGAAUGUGAAGAAUACCAGGUAGUGAAGACUGUAAUUUCACGGAAACACCCCCCAGCCUCGCAGGAAGAACCAGGAUUCUCCUGAGGAUUAAAUGGGCUGGCAUUCAUAAAGCUCCUAAGACCUGCUUGGUGCUUGAGCAGAAGUCAGAUGUGCCAAUUCGUGGUUUACAUGGAAUACCUCCAUUCCUGCCUAUCCUCCUGUUUCUACCUGCUGCCACUGGAAGGGUUGCUUGGAGCUUUGCGAUAAUCUUUACUUUCAGCCAGGGAGAAAGGAGAAAGCUGCCCAAGGCAGGGAGUGCUUGGGGGAGCAUCCUGUAGGAAUGCACUCUGUGGACCUUGCUCAGUUCAGACCAACAGGUGUUCAUUGCAUUCCAGGCCUGUUUGCUUCCAGGAAUGCACAGGAGUGAGGCCUCAGGAUUCAAGACUUCUGGAUGUUGUUUCACUUAUAUAUUUUUCACUUUAGGAUAAUGCAUUUACUGGGAAAAAUAAACAAUUGUAGCUCAAGGCUGAGGCCCAGAUGAAGUGCGGGAUCCCUGGCAAGAGUGUAGCCCCGCGUGCACGUGCCCUCCCUGUGCUGUUUUGGUGGGGAGGGCAGCUCACAGGGCUCACGGGAAAGGAAGCAAGCAUGUUAGAGGUGGCUGCAUUGUAAGAGUAAAUUCCAUCUGAUUUACAAAGUCCUCAGAGCAGCUCCCUGUGGCUCUGGCAGCUAACUGAUCCAGUUAAUGGAAAGGGCGUGGCCUUGUGCCUGGCUUCUGAUGUGCCCUCGCUGUAAUCCCACCCGCGCCAUGGUCUAGCCACACUGGGCGGCCUCUCCCUGCUCGCUCCUCUCCUCUGCUUUCGUCUGCUGGGACUUCUCCCACGGCUGCACCACGUUAGGGCCUGCUGGGUGGCCGCAUGGGAUGCAUUUUCUACCACAGAUGGCCAUGGCUGAGGGCAGAUGGGCCUCCUGAAGGUAGGUCCAUCCCGGCUGCAGUGGACGCAGGGCUCCCGAGAAACUCAGUUGCUGAGAAGUGUCGUUUUCCAAUCAGCUAGCCUAGACUGCACCCGUGGAUUUUAACGCUUUCUUUGCUGUCAGAGCCUAGGCAAAGGUUCCUGCGAAAUUUCUGCCCUCAGGAAAUGAAGCCGUGUUUCUAGAGGGAGCUUGAACCUCUGAGCCUCACUUCACCUCUUUUGAUGUGUCUUUGUCAAACUCUGAAUACUCUUGAUUCAGAUGUCCAUAAAGUCAAGAAGAUGAUCACAAAAUAUAAAAAGCUGAUGAAUCUUUUGGAAAGUUAACAAUUUUCUUUAGGAGUUUUUCUCUUCCCUGUGUAAAAUGUUCCCCCCAGUUUGCCUCUUCAUGAUCCAUUCAGAGCUGUGUCAGGAGGGAGAUAAAGAAGCAGAAGGACCCAUGUGAAUUUCUCCCUGACGUUUCCAUGCCCUCCCUCCCAUUCAGACACGACCCCCUUUCAAGCGUUGCAAGCGGGAAGCAACCUACUGGUUAUGGGUAUUCUGAAAAUACUGUAGAAAAACAUAGUCCCAGAGGACACUCAGAGAGAAGCCGUAGAGCUAAGAGACCAGAUUCUAGUUCUGAUACUCUAAGUAGCUAUGCAACCUGUGGUUAAAAAAAAAUAAGAAAGAAACUCGACUAUAUUGACAAAUUACCAUGUGUCAGGCACUUUACAUGCAUUUUCUUAUUUAAUCCUCACAAGGUACUCCUAAGAAAGGUAAUUUUCUACUUACUUUGCAGAUAAACAAACUGUGAUUCAGAGUCUGUGAACUAUUCCAAGUUAACAUCAGUAGUAUGCAAAUAAAACAGAAAACUCAGACAUCAGUUUGGAUUUCAGGAUGAAAACAGACUGAAUUCGAACACGCCCCAGGCAAGGGGUCCA
This 2167-nucleotide long non-coding RNA is filed under the name Homo sapiens (human). RNAcentral's name for it is "HSALNT0198345". Lineage: Eukaryota; Metazoa; Chordata; Mammalia; Primates; Hominidae. The record is from RNAcentral.